Molecule: long non-coding RNA, 1212 nt
Filed under: Daphnia pulicaria
Lineage: Eukaryota; Metazoa; Arthropoda; Branchiopoda; Diplostraca; Daphniidae
Description: uncharacterized LOC124314313, transcript variant X1
Source: RNAcentral
CUCCUCCUCCUCGAUAGCCUCCUCCCCCUCCUCCACCUCCACGGUAUGUGGGAGUAUAUAUCCGAUGGCCGUUCAUCGCUUCUUCAUUGCACAAAAGGCGGGCCGGGUGGGCCUGGAGGUCCUGGAGGCCCAGGUGGACAUGCACAGGAGCCGUUGAGAAGCGGAAGAUAAUCCAGGAGGAGUUCAAAUUGCUCUUGAAAUCUUUGAAUGUGAGCUCUCUCCGCGGCGGAAUAAGAGCGCGGAUCCAAACCGUAGUAAGGGUUCAAAGAAGCCAAAACUUCCUUGUGCUGGCAUAGUUUCCAUUAAAAAUCAUCAAACAGCUGCCGUUACAUGAACGAUACAUACCUUCAUUAUAGACACAGAUCAGACGAGUUCGGAUGGAAAAUGGAUUCUGUGCGGAAUCUUAUGACGAAUGCGAUGUUCUAGUGAAACGGAACUGUGACAUGCUGUCGAUCUAGCGAAUUAAAAGAUUAGGUUAUGGAGGAAAGGAUACCAGAGAUGUUGUGCCACGAACUACCCGCAGUUGGACACUGACUCACGUUGAGAGAUUGUCGGCCGAUUAUGAAGAAGAGAUAAAAUAAGAGUUUGAUCUUCGCGACGGGACCUGGUUCAGGCGAGAUGCUGGCUUCCGGCACCCGAGUGUCCCUAAUCUCAUUCUAAUUGGGAUCAUCGCAUCUCCGGGGAUCGUCAAACACGUUAUAAAUGAAAGUGCAGCCAAAGAUUCACUCGCGGAAAUGUGAGAUGGGAAAACGAGGUUGGCGUCUUCUAGAGAUGGAUAUUUUGACAACACAAGCUUUCUCUUUUCACUUCACCUCAUUAGCGUUUUCUACGCUGGAGAAAGGAUAAGUCACGCAUUACUGCUGAAUUGUUUUCCCAGAAUCACAGUGGUGUCCCAGUUUAAUUACUGAGUGGAAAGCAGUAUCAACAUCGCUGCUAGCUGAUGAGCUGAAGAUUUGAUCUCUUUCAGCGCUUGAUGCAGCGUAAUCAAAUCAAGCACGCAGGAAAUAUUUGGCUUCCGGCCAUUUCGCGUCCUUAAUCUCAUUCUGAUUGAAAAUAGAGAGACGGUUCAAUUAGCAUCUAGACUCUUCGCACGCUUUUUAGAUUUGUUACUUUCGAUCCACAGAAUUCGCUUUCAGCUUUCACCAACUACAUCUUCCCAAAUGUUUUCUCCUCCGACUGCUUUGUCAAUACAGUGAUUUGCUUCCAACGAGA